GGGGGUGAUCGGUUUCGACGGUGAUCGUCGAGCCAGGUGAAGCGGGUCGAGGAUGCACGGUUAUCUCGUAAACGCUCCGUGCAAACUUAUAGGUGCCGAUUCCAAUCGCACCGACUUCGCCCUCGCCGCCUGAGCGAGCCUCGAAGUCCGUCGGCCUAGACAUGCUCUCGGUCUAGUUCCCGGCGUCAUCUAGAGAGCCACUGCUGUCCGUCCUCGUCGGUGGGGCGGGCGGGACUCUUAGCCGACUGAGCCCGUCCACGUCUUGUCCGCGUGAUCGUGGGGGCUGAGAAAAUCUACUGCGGACUGCACCCGGAGAAGCCCUGGUCCCACGUCAUCGGACGCGGGUUCGAUUCCCGCCACCUCCACGU
RNAcentral lists this transfer-messenger RNA (368 nucleotides) under Cellulomonas sp. It matches the Rfam family "transfer-messenger RNA". Rfam says of the family: Bacterial tmRNA, also known as 10Sa RNA or SsrA, is named for its dual tRNA and mRNA-like properties. Lineage: Bacteria; Bacillati; Actinomycetota; Actinomycetes; Micrococcales; Cellulomonadaceae. The record is from RNAcentral. RNAcentral also lists the same sequence under 1 other name.